This 169-nucleotide ribosomal RNA is filed under the name uncultured Clostridia bacterium. RNAcentral's name for it is "partial 16S ribosomal RNA". It matches the Rfam family "Bacterial small subunit ribosomal RNA", at positions 338 to 523 of the family's 1533-position model. Lineage: Bacteria; Bacillati; Bacillota; Clostridia. The record is from RNAcentral.
CCUACGGGAGGCAGCAGUGGGGAAUAUUGCGCAAUGGGGGAAACCCUGACGCAGCAACGCCGCGUGAAGGAUGAAGGUUUUCGGAUUGUAAACUUCUUUGAUGGGGGACGAAUAAUGACGGUACCCCAAAAACAAGCCACGGCUAACUACGUGCCAGCAGCCGCGGUAA